Molecule: long non-coding RNA, 240 nt
Organism: Vanessa atalanta (red admiral)
Lineage: Eukaryota; Metazoa; Arthropoda; Insecta; Lepidoptera; Nymphalidae
Exons: 3
Source: RefSeq, a predicted model, not a curated record
CGCUGCGGGCCGAGCUGGCCGCCGCGCGCGACCGCGCCGACUGCGCGCGCCACCGGAGAGAAUUUCAAAUGACGGAGGAGAUCUUCCCUAAAGGAGUUGACCAGUCGAUACAGGACCAACCGAGUAAUGGGGGUUGAUCUCCCGGCCGGCUGUGGACCCGAGCCGCCCUGCGACGCCUGCGCCGGCGCGACCCAACUAUGACGCUUAACGAAACUUGACGAAAAAACGAGAUUUUUUCCC